AACGAACGCUGGCGGCAUGCCUAACACAUGCAAGUCGAACGAGACCUUCGGGUCUAGUGGCGCACGGGUGCGUAACGCGUGGGAACCUGCCCUUAGGUUCGGAAUAACUCCCCGAAAGGGGUGCUAAUACCGGAUAAUGUCUUCGGACCAAAGAUUUAUCGCCUUUGGAUGGGCCCGCGUUGGAUUAGCUAGUUGGUAGGGUAAAAGCCUAACAAGGCGACGAUCAGUAGCUGGUCUGGGAGGAUGAUCAGCGACACUGGGACUGAGACACGGCCCAGACUCCUACGGGAGGCAGCAGUGGGGAAUAUUGGACAAUGGGCGAAAGCAUGAUCCAGCAAUGCCGCGUGAGUGAUGAAGGCCUUAGGGUUGUAAAGCUCUUUUACCCGGGAUGAUAAUGACAGUACCGGGAGAAUAAGCUCCGGCUAACUCCGUG
RNAcentral lists this ribosomal RNA (433 nucleotides) under uncultured bacterium. Its description in RNAcentral is "partial 16S ribosomal RNA". It matches the Rfam family "Bacterial small subunit ribosomal RNA", at positions 29 to 507 of the family's 1533-position model. The record is from RNAcentral.